This 430-nucleotide ribosomal RNA is filed under the name Metschnikowia reukaufii. RNAcentral describes it as "eukaryotic LSU rRNA". It matches the Rfam family "Eukaryotic large subunit ribosomal RNA", at positions 88 to 558 of the family's 3401-position model. The record is from RNAcentral. Lineage: Eukaryota; Fungi; Ascomycota; Pichiomycetes; Serinales; Metschnikowiaceae.
GGCGAGUGAAGCGGCAAAAGCUCAAAUUUGAAAUCCUUCGGGAAUUGUAUUUUGAAGGUGGGUUUGGUUCGGAAAAGUUACUUUAAGUCCAUUGGAAAAUGGCGCCAUGGAGGGUGAUAGCCCCGUAAAAGUAUCCCUUUUCCUUUUAUCCAUUCCCUCCAAAGAGUCGAGUUGUUUGGGAAUGCAGCUCUAAGUGGGUGGUAAAUUCCAUCUAAAGCUAAAUAUUGGCGAGAGACCGAUAGCGAACAAGUACAGUGAUGGAAAGAUGAAAAGCACUUUGAAAAGAGAGUGAAAAAGUACGUGAAAUUGUUGAAAGGGAAGGGCUUGCAAGCAGACACAACCUCGGUUGGGCCAGCAUCGGAGUGGGGGGAGACAAAAAAGAAAAGGAAUGUAACUCUUUCGAGUAUUAUACCCUUUUUCUAAUAUCUCC